This 67-nucleotide transfer RNA is filed under the name Marmota marmota marmota (Alpine marmot). It matches the Rfam family "tRNA". From Rfam's summary of the family: Transfer RNA (tRNA) molecules are approximately 80 nucleotides in length. Their secondary structure includes four short double-helical elements and three loops (D, anti-codon, and T loops). RNAcentral also lists the same sequence under 1 other name. Lineage: Eukaryota; Metazoa; Chordata; Mammalia; Rodentia; Sciuridae. The record is from Rfam by way of RNAcentral.
GGUGUUGGCUCAGUGGUAGAGCACUUGCCUAGUAUGUGUGAGGCACUGGGUUCGAUCCCUGGCACCA